GCCGACUCACCUUCUGCUAUGGGGAAGCGCUUUGGCAUUUACUGGGAACCCCAUCUUUGCCAUUGCCACUGCUGCUGUUGCCAGUGCCACCCUCCUCCCUAGUAGCCACGGUGUAUCAAGUGCCAGGGGGCAUGGAGCGGGCGCUACCGGGAAAGGAGGUCGUGUGAGCAGAUGUAUGGAGGAGUGACACAGCAUGGGCGUUCCCGGCCUGCAGCCUGGUGGAGCUGGACGAAGGAGCCUCUUUCAGGUGGGGAUAGGGCUGAUGUGGGGCAUAAAUGAAGGUCAGCCCAGCCGGGAAGAAUUCAUGGGGCCCUCCAGACUGAGAGUCAGCCUAGCUCUUGGAUUUUCCAUCACACGGGAGAUUUGUGCACACCUCCUGGGCCAGUGGUUCCCAACCCUAGUGCAUGUUAGAGCCAUCCCCAUGGUUCUGGUUCAUUGGCCUCGGGUGAGGCCCAGGCCUCCUCAGAAUUUUAAAAAAAACAAUGCCCCAAGUGAUAUUAAUUAACUGUUAAAGAAAUAAUUAUUCCAAACACUUGUUAAAACGGUAAGGGAGAUUUUCUUCAAGACUAUUGCAAUGGGGAUACUGCACUAAGGGAGAGAGAUGGAGUACAACUGCAAAUACAACAGAUAUGAGUGGGAUUAGCCAGUGAGCAGAGUGGGGGGGUCAGUGAUGGAAAGUUACUAAGAGGAGACAUCAAGGAUAGGGGUGUUCUUGCUAAAGGCAAGCCAAGGAUUUGGACCUCGAAAGUGGGGGGAUGAAACUGAUCAGAUAUCAAGGGCAGGGGGCUGACUUAGAGAAGUCUUUGUUGAGACUGGGCGGGGAAGGCCAAAGACAGGGGCCAAGGUUGAGGCCUAGCUGAGAAGAGGGCUCAGGGGAGCCUGACCUGAGUUUGGUCAAGCAGAGCGUCUUUGUCAGUGCAUCUGGGGUUGAGCCCCUUGGCUGGGGCACAGAAAGAAUCCUCAGUAACAAGGUCGUGGUCACCAUCCUGUCUCAUUCUCCACUGAGGCUGCACAGCCUGUUGGGCACUGAGUGGUUUCUCAAUGAACUUAAUAUUUGUAGAAUGAGCAACCUUGAGAAGGAUGUUGAGGGUCCAGAGGUCUGUUCAGAGGUGUGAGGAGAGCUGAGGAAAUCGUGGGGGCCGGGAGGCAGGUUGGGAGGAGAAGCAGUGGGGGAAAUCCCACAGUCAGCUUGGAACUCAGUGACUCGCUAGCUCCACCUAUGGGCAAGUUACCUCAACUGUCUGAGCCUCAGUUUCCUCACAAACCCAAUGGCGGUAAAUAUAGUAAUUAACCAUAUGGGUUAUUGUGAGGAAGAAAUAAGACAAUCUCUGUCAAGUGUCUCUCACCACACCCAAGGGCGUAAUUGGUGACAUUAGGAAGUAGAACUCUAAAGUAGGAUUUUGAGUAAGGAGGACACUCUGAAGACAUGAUUUCCUGUCCUGUGCUUAUGCCCUGCUCCCUCACCAAUAAUAUAAUGAUAAUAAUCACGAUAAUAUAUAAUAUACUUAGUAUAAUAGAUACUGUAUAACAUGUUAUUUAUAAUGUAAAAUAUAAAUAAUACUUUGGAUUCAUAUGAAAAAAAUCUAUCACGACACAACUUGUUUUUGUGGCUACCGUCUCGUCCGUCCUUGGUGCUCUGAGAGAAGUGGCACAGCCUGGUGACAACAUGAGGCCUCUGAAGUAGACGGUUUUGGUUCAUAUCCUGGCUCCACCGUUUACUGACCUUGGAGAUGCACAUGCCCCAGGUGGGCUGCCUGGGAAUGGAGGCAAGCCGGUUUCCCAGAGAUGCCUGAUCUCAGGACCUUACAUAUUAGAGGAAAAUACAAGCCUG
Molecule: long non-coding RNA, 1831 nt
Organism: Equus quagga
Lineage: Eukaryota; Metazoa; Chordata; Mammalia; Perissodactyla; Equidae
Exons: 3
Source: RefSeq, a predicted model, not a curated record